Molecule: non-coding RNA, 1158 nt
Organism: Schizosaccharomyces pombe (fission yeast)
Lineage: Eukaryota; Fungi; Ascomycota; Schizosaccharomycetes; Schizosaccharomycetales; Schizosaccharomycetaceae
Source: the annotation of a GenBank genome assembly
AAUGUAUCGGCAGCACAAAUUAACAAGUCAUAUCUACUAAGCGACUUAAUAGAUGAAAUAGAAAGCGUUUUAAGAGAGUGGGCUAUAGGCAACGUCGAUUUUCAUUCUUUUGAUUACUUUUUAGGUCUGUAAAAUAUAGAAAAGAAUGAAUGGGCACACAAGCCUAACUUCCGAUAUAUAAUUAAUAGCAAAACUGUACAUCGGAGAUCAAGAGUCAACGGAAGCUUUACUCCUAUAGCCAGUACUAAACAAGCUUUAACCAUUAAGCUGCUAUGACAAACUUUACUAAGCUUUCAAAGGACUUACCGUUUUGCUCAUUACGGCGGAUUGAAGCAGAAACAAAGCCACGGUACAGAGAAACAGUACUCCUGACCGCUGCUCUUUGUCUGGAGACACGAAGCAUAGAAUUCAUAAACAUCUUAAAAGACAAUUAUUGAUGAUUUAUAACCUGAUAAUGGGUGAGAUGGGGUGUUGUGUAGUUUCCAACGUUGGUCCGGUAUUGUGUAACGAAAUUUGGUAGGACAGCAAGCUACAACAGAAAAAAAGAUGAGAAGGUUAACAAAAAACGGAAUUAUUUCUUAAACAGUUACGAAUAAGAUGAUAAUGGGGAAGUUCCAAUAUUACUAUUGCCUUAAUUAUAUUGUAUAAAAAACGAGUAGUAUGAGAUGUCCUUUUCUUGAUUGACUAUCGGUGCUCAUAACUUGCUAAACAUAUCUGAGUGUUAUAAUUAAAGGGAUCAUUGCUAUAUUUCUACUGAUUGUUUGUGUUUUUUAAGGUUCAUGAGCUAUACCCUGGAAGAAAUUGACUUAAAUUGUUUUGUUUACUCAUUUCUUAUACAACUCUUUAUGAACUAGAGGUUUAAUGUAUCAUGUUUGCCUCGGGAAUAUUAAUUAUUUUAAAAGCAAUAUGACCGAAAGAAAUAAAUUCCCUAGUGAUGAACGAUUUUCAGGUCGUUCAUUUUCGAUCUUGUCCUCUCAAUUAUUACAAUCCGUUUGUUCUAUUGUUUAAAGCAAACAUGCAUACAUUCUCUGUAUAUUACUGACCACAUUGUGUUAAUCAAUUAAAUCUAAUACGAAAUACUAUUUUUUAAUACCUUUUCGUUGGUUCAUUUAGUCGUUUCUUUUCAUCUAGUUUAUUCACAUUAAAUUUCAUAGCUUU